This 468-nucleotide ribosomal RNA is filed under the name uncultured bacterium. RNAcentral describes it as "partial 16S ribosomal RNA". It matches the Rfam family "Bacterial small subunit ribosomal RNA", at positions 28 to 507 of the family's 1533-position model. The record is from RNAcentral.
GACGAGCGCUGGCGGCGUGCUUAACACAUGCAAGUCGAACGGAAAGGCCCUGCUUUUGUGGGGUGCUCGAGUGGCGAACGGGUGAGUAACACGUGAGUAACCUGCCCUUGACUUUGGGAUAACUUCAGGAAACUGGGGCUAAUACCGGAUAGGAGCUCCUGCUGCAUGGUGGGGGUUGGAAAGUUUCGGCGGUUGGGGAUGGACUCGCGGCUUAUCAGCUUGUUGGUGGGGUAGUGGCUUACCAAGGCUUUGACGGGUAGCCGGCCUGAGAGGGUGACCGGCCACAUUGGGACUGAGCUACGGCCCAGACUCCUACGGGAGGCAGCAGUGGGGUAUAUUGCACAAUGGGCGGAAGCCUGAUACAGCAACGCCGCGUGCGGGAUGACGGCCUUCGGGUUGUAAACCGCUUUCGCCUGUGACGAAGCGUGAGUGACGGUAAUGGGUAAAGAAGCACCGGCUAACUACGUA